Molecule: long non-coding RNA, 705 nt
Filed under: Crocodylus porosus (Australian saltwater crocodile)
Lineage: Eukaryota; Metazoa; Chordata; Crocodylia; Crocodylidae
Description: lncRNA (ENSCPRG00005009307.1)
Source: RNAcentral
GUUUUUGUUUUUUAUAGGGGUAUGAGUAAGUCUAAACCUUGACCCACUGUUGUUCUGAUUUUUAUUUCUAGAUAUACUGUGGUGCUGGUCCAUCACUCAUCCAGGCUGCAGAGUUCACGGAGUUCCAGUUACUUGUGGAAGAAAAACUUGUUGGACAGGCAAAUGGAAAGCUAAUUCUCAGGCAAGAAAGGUGUCCCCUGUUUUGGACACAAGAAAAAUGGUGAAGCACAGAAAAGCUAUAUUCCUGUUUUGCCUGCAUCAGGGGAUAGUCACACAAUAUCUAACUAUUUCAAGAAACUUUGACCAGAAAAACAGGAAUGCUGAUUUUAAAACUUGUUUUGUGUGGGAUGCUUGGGGAAAGUUGAGAUGAGUAAAUCAGUCAAAACAAUGUAGCUAAAGUACAUUAAACUUCUGCCUGGGUCUUGCUUAAUCCUCCUAGGUACAGCAAUCAAUCUAUCUAUAUUUUUGAAACCAGCAUCUACAACAGGGGGUUAGUGCACUUGAACCUUGUGUGCUAGCUUCCCAGCAUUAACUGAGUUACCCUGAUAUUCCCCCCCCCCUCCCCAAGCCUACAGUACAAAAUAGGGGGGAAAUUAACUAGUUAAAAAUAUUUGAAAUGGGAACAAUAUAACUAAAGGUGUAGAUCUUAAAGUUACUAUGACAUUUAGUCACUUUAUAGAAAUAAAAAACUCUUUCAUGAGCUCA